Long non-coding RNA from Gallus gallus (chicken), 2246 nucleotides. NCBI's taxonomy places the organism in Eukaryota, Metazoa, Chordata, Aves, Galliformes, Phasianidae. The record is from Ensembl.
AGGGCUGGCAAAUGCCAUCCAGCAGCAAAACGUGGUCCUGCAAAGGGAACAUUUGUGACCCUGAAGGCUGCCUCACCUUGUGGUGCCUCUCCUGGAGCAGCUGCUUCUUCUCCCCGAAGCAUGUGACUGCAGCCAUGGGUGCUUGAGUUCUCCUUAUGCCUCACCUGUGCGUGAAGAAGCCUGAUGUUGUGUGUCAAACAGGAAGGUGGGCUAGUAGCCCAUCUGGUGUUACAAUCCACAAAUUGGAGUUGUUCCUUUGUAAUGAAGAAGGUCUUCUGGGAAGAAGCGGGAGUUCCAGACCUGCUUUUUGAGGGGCUGGUAUGAUUUACAAGCGUGUAUUAGGAGCAGCUGUCUGAAACUAAAGGAGCCACAAGCCAAAGCUCACUUGAACAUACAGGCUAAAUGCUUUGAAGACCUGUGCAAUCAUAGAAUCACAGAAUGGCUUGAAUUGGAACAGACCUUAAAGUCCAUCCAUUCCGGAUAUCCUGCCCAAGGCCCCAUCUCAACCUGGCCAUGAUGCUAGAAGGGAGUGCAGCAGGCCCAGUGGUGCCCUCUGGUGUGAUGUAGGCCAACACUGCUCUGAGAGAAGUGAAAAACAGAAACAAUCUCCCAGUCCCUCUCAUGGAAGAGACUUUUCAAAGACAUUAUAGAUAUUCUUCUAGGUACAGAUAUUAUGUACUAAACUGCCACUGACAAUCAUUGGGGAUCAACUGCCUAAGUCCAUGCUGAGUAUUGCCCUACCACCUGAAGGGUGGCCAGACAGUUUAAACUUUCUUCCUUGCAGACCACAAAACGCUCUUUGGUUUCACAAGUGUUUGAACUGAUUAUGUGUUAUCCCAAAGAUACUUUUGAAAUGCCCUUCCAACUUUCAGUUGCAUACAGUGAGUUGUCACAUAGUUCCUGGGCCAUAUGCUUAUUUUCUGUCUCUGAGCAUUUUUAUGCUUUCAGUAAGAGAGGGCAAUCCUACGGAAUGUAUGUCCUAUUCCUAUCAGUAGUCAGGUUUACAUGCUACUUCUCCAUACCAAAUCAUACACUGCAUGUCUCAGAGGCAAGACCUAGGUGAGGAGGAGGAGGCUGGCUGUGAAUGGUCACAUUAGCAGCUUUGGAUGGCACUAAUUCCUGCAUUUUAAUAUCAUCCAAAGAAAGGGUCAGUUACUGUUAGUGUUUCAUCUCCUAGCAACAACAGAGCCAGUAUAGAAAACAAAGUAUUGCCAGACUACACAGCUACAGCAACCUCUCAGAAGGCAAAAUGUUACACAUAUACAAUGAGUCUGUAGGGUAACAGAAAAAAAUAAGGAAAUAUUACUCUUUUUAACAGGCAAUUAAAACAUAAAAAUCCUGAAGAACUCAAGUGCCUUAGUUUCCUUGUGAUGUAGGAAAAUUUGGGGCUCAAAGACGUUGACCCUCCAGCAGUUUUACCUUAAGUUGCCCUGCUGUCUUCCCUCCUUUUGCUACCUCUGCCAUCUGCAUUAAAGCUAAGAGAGGCCUGCCUCUCUGCUUUCCACUCACAGCUUUCAUGGUGGGUGUGUAUUCCUAGAAACAGAAACUGUAGGUAGCUGGAUGUCUCAAGGAAGAAUAAAUCGACCGCUUAAUCUUCACUUCCCAGAUCACAGUUAUCUAAUAAAGCAGGCCUGUUCCUGUACAUGUUGGCCACUCAGGAAUACCAAUAGACUACCCAGGAGCUGUGCCGGUUGGCAAAUAGCAAACAUCUGUUCACAUCAUGGCCUUCUUGAUGGUGCUUGUGUAAUUAAUAGGACACUUCUCAACUAUUGAUAGGUCUUAUUCUCAGAAGAGUCUGAAUGCCUUGGGAGACAAAAUUAUACCUCCCAGACUGCAGGAAUCUAUCUGGGGAGGUAGCACUGGGAAAUGUAAAAAGGAUCCUUGCCUUGGACAUCUGUCAUGCUUCCCUGGGCACAGAAACAUCACAUCACAUGGCCAUCUGGAUGAAAGUUACACUGACACCAUUCUACUACAAGGUUUCCACCUGCAGACCCAACUGACUAACGCUCUGCAUGAGUGCUAACUUCACGUGCACACAACAUGAUUUGUGUGUUAAAGUUAAAAGAGUCUACGUAUGUUUUGUAGGAGGCUAUGCAAUUAGCUGAAAAAUUCACUUCAACAGUAUAUUGCUAUUUCAAUAGACUUAAUUUCAGUUAAUGAAUUCAGCAGCUGCUUUUAAGCUCUACACAAUGAAAUGUAAAUACAUCUCAUAACACAUUAAGGAGAGUCAAAUACAUACUGGUAUG